RNAcentral lists this ribosomal RNA (484 nucleotides) under uncultured bacterium. RNAcentral's name for it is "partial 16S ribosomal RNA". It matches the Rfam family "Bacterial small subunit ribosomal RNA", at positions 30 to 507 of the family's 1533-position model. The record is from RNAcentral.
AUUGAACGCUGGCGGCAGGCCUAACACAUGCAAGUCGAGCGGAUGAAGGGAGCUUGCUCCUGGAUUCAGCGGCGGACGGGUGAGUAAUGCCUAGGAAUCUGCCCGGUAGUGGGGGAUAACGUCCGGAAGCGGGCGCUAAUACCGCAUACGUCCUGAGGGAGAAAGUGGGGGAUCUUCGGACCUCACGCUAUCAGAUGAGCCUAGGUCGGAUUAGCUAGUUGGUGGGGUAAAGGCCUACCAAGGCGACGAUCCGUAACUGGUCUGAGAGGAUGAUCAGUCACACUGGAACUGAGACACGGUCCAGACUCCUACGGGAGGCAGCAGUGGGGAAUAUUGGACAAUGGGCGAAAGCCUGAUCCAGCCAUGCCGCGUGUGUGAAGAGGGUCUUCGGAUUGUAAAGCACUUUAAGUUGGGAGGAAGGGCAGUAAGUUAAUACCUUGCUGUUUUGACGUUACCAACAGAAUAAGCACCGGCUAACUUCGUG